This 553-nucleotide long non-coding RNA is filed under the name Nicotiana benthamiana. Its description in RNAcentral is "long non-coding RNA (NBEN_LNC010875)". The record is from RNAcentral. Lineage: Eukaryota; Viridiplantae; Streptophyta; Magnoliopsida; Solanales; Solanaceae.
AGUAAGUGCUCUUUCAACAACAGAAAGAUUCUUGAAUAAAACCUCAACUUUUGGGGAGUCCCUAUUGGCAGGUUUAAGAAAAUUGGAAGUGGGGUUCUUGAUUUGUGCUUCAAUUGAGACAGAAGUUGAGGAAAACGAUUCUUGAAUAAAACCUGAACUUUUGGGGAGUCCCUAUUGGCAGGUUUAAGAAAAUUGGAAGUGGGGUUCUUGAUUUGUGCUUCAAUUGAGACAGAAGUUGAGGAAAACUUGAAUUUGGGACUGAAAAAAUGGGUUCUUGAUUUGGCAUUCUUGUGGUGUAAAGUUGUAGUUGGGGUACAUAAUAGGGAAGUGUUGAGAUUGUUGAAGAGGGAGUUGAAGUCAGUUUUCAGGUCAUUAGGGUCUUGCAGAAUGAGACUAAGGGAAUUGCCAAUUCGAGUUUCCAUUGUUAUUUUCUCACUGAUUCUUUUGGCUUUUUGGUGCGCACAGUUGUGGUGACAUUUGGAAAUGGAGGCCUAUGGUAAGUAGAAGAUAUAUGAGGUUUGGAGUCGGGUGGGGUGGGGAGAAAAGAAAAAAA